CCGAGUGCGGGCCCUCUGGGUCCAACCUCCCACCCGUGUUUAUCGUACCUUGUUGCUUCGGUGGGCCCGCUGUUCCUAGCCGCCGGGGGGCUCCUGCCCCUGGGCCCGUGCCCGCCGAAGACACCAUUGAACGCUGUCUGAAGAUUGCAGUCUGAGCUUAUUAGCUAAAUCGGUUA
This 176-nucleotide unclassified non-coding RNA is filed under the name uncultured Penicillium. RNAcentral's name for it is "sequence contains ITS1". Lineage: Eukaryota; Fungi; Ascomycota; Eurotiomycetes; Eurotiales; Aspergillaceae. The record is from RNAcentral.